AACGGUAAUUAAUGAAUGAAUAAAAACAUAAUAAUUGGGUAUAAAGUACGGUAUUAAAGUGCAUCGUGACUGUGUGCGUGAAGAAAGCAAAUGAAAAAGCUACUCAUUCGCCCACGAUCACAAAACCCUCUCAUACCCAAAGGAUUUUGAUGACGCCACCGAAUGAAGCGACGCGUGUCCAAAUUUUCUUAUUUGGUACCAAACACCACGUUAGCGCAGUGUACUAGAAUGCAAAUGAAAUAAAACAAAGGACAAUAGCUGUGCCUGUUCGGCGUUGGCUGUGCAACAAUAUUACAAGUUACAACCUUAUCCUCCUAAUCCGCUCACUAACGUGAUACAUGUGGAAUACUUCCUCUUCACACAAUGUCAGAUUUGUCUGCGCCAUGCCAAGUUUUUCCUUCUUUUUUUUUUACUUUCUUUUUUCGUUCAUCGAUCAGUUCAUAUGAUCCAUCUAUCUUCUCAUCAAACCUUUUUGUUUUUGGCUACAAGCUCCCAACCCAACACAUUCUUAGACACACUCUUUUCUGUUGAGAAACAACGUUUAGUUUAUUCUUGUUUUAUUGUUGCUCUUGUGUUUCUCGAAUGCUCCAAAAAAAUAUUAAAAAAAAAAUUAAAUACAAUUAAUUGAAUACAAUUUUUUUAAAAUUCUAUGUAAAACAAAUUAAACUUACUAAAAGGUGAUGAUUGAUGUUAAAAAUCACUUUUUAACAUUUCAAAACAUUUUACGCACAAUUUCCAAAAAUAAAUCUUUCGUUGUUUGUUAAUGUUUUCUUUUACUAAAUUAUCUUAUUUUUAAUGUUAAAUAUUUAUUUAUUAAUACUAAAUAUUUUAAAUUAAAAAAAAAUUUAAAUGGAUUCACC
This 860-nucleotide long non-coding RNA is filed under the name Cicer arietinum (chickpea). RNAcentral's name for it is "long non-coding RNA (CARI_LNC001888)". The record is from RNAcentral. Lineage: Eukaryota; Viridiplantae; Streptophyta; Magnoliopsida; Fabales; Fabaceae.